Molecule: RNA transcript, 3365 nt
Organism: Acinonyx jubatus (cheetah)
Lineage: Eukaryota; Metazoa; Chordata; Mammalia; Carnivora; Felidae
Gene: FAM237B
Gene name: family with sequence similarity 237 member B
Exons: 6
Source: RefSeq, a predicted model, not a curated record
UGCGCUGUAUGAUGGACUCCCACCAACUGGCACAGGCGCAGGCGCUGAGUGGCUUGCCUUACUGGUAGGUGGGAAAAAGUGACUUCUGUUUAGGCGUAAAGCAGCGAAAAACACUGAGAAAAUGUCGAGGGGCACUGUGGCAAAGGACAAUCGGGUGCACAGUGAAUACCUCAGGAAUGAAUACUUUGCAUGGGAAGGGCCUGGAGACUGAAAGGCCGUGAAGGAAUUUUUCCGCUAAUUGAGGAAACCAAAGGUACCACAGAGUCUUCACUCGGUGAAGCUGAGUGGAAAAAACAAAACACACACACACGAGAAGAACCACCAACAGACAAUAAAACCAAACGCGUAAAAGACAGAAAUUGAGCGGCGAAAGAAGAGGCCGAAAGGCUGUUCGUUCAUUGACGAGUUGAGUAAUCUCUAGUAAAAGCCCGGAGACAAUGCAUUUAAAACUUGGGACACAUGUGUCAGGACCUGAGGUAUUCAGCAUUAGUCAGUCAACAUGUCCCUGCUGUGUGUGUGGAGUGCUCUUCUAAAUUCUGUGGGGUGUGAUGAUGGCAGUAUUUCCUGGAGAAGCAUGCUGUAUAAAGGAGAACUGGAAUAAACACAAGUGUGACAGAACUGCAACUAAGUGAUUGGAAGAAAAGGAGCGUGGUUUCGGGCUGCGCGCUGACUAGGGCGCCACUCGCGAGGCCGCAACAGAGCCCGCAGCGCCGCCAUCGGCGAGCCAGAGCCUUCCAGCCCCGGAGCAUCGAACUGCGGACACCCUUCAGCUGGGCGAGUUUGAGGAGCCGCCUGCAACCUUCGAGUGAGCUCAGCGCUCACCGAACACCGCGCUGGACGCGCGCCUCGGCGCAGACAAGAGGACUGGAUUUUAUAAAACAUGAGUUUUACAUAGAAGAUAGAGAACAUGGAAAAUACCUCAAGCAAAGUGACAUCAACCUGAAGGUUUAAUUCUGAUCCCAUCCAGGAUUCCAUAAUAUAUUAAGGUGUCAUGUCUCCUUAGGCUCUAAGAAGGUGUUUUCAUUCAAUGAACUUGACAGUUUUGAGUGCUAAGGUAUGUUACAGAAUAUCCAAUUUGGGUUUGCUUGAUUGUUUUUCUUACAGUUAGACUGAAUUUAUGGGAUUUUUGGGUGAAGACCACAAAAGUAAAGUACUGUUCUCAAUACUUCAGAUCAAGGGUAUAUGCUAUCAACAUAAGUUAUCACUGAUGAUGUUUAACCUUGGCUAAGGUAGUGUAUCCCAGGUUUCUCCGCUAUCAUGUUACUUUCUCUUCUGUUUCUGUAUUGUAUUUUUUGGAAGCAAGUCACUAAGUAUAACCCACAUGUAAGAAAAUGGGAAGUUAUGUUCCACAUGCUGAAGGAGGGAAUAUCUACAUAAAUUAUCUGUAGAUAAUUUAUAUGGGAGAUUUGUCUGCCCUCACUCCCCCCCCUUCUUCUUCCUUCAUUCCUUUUCUUCCAUCAUUUAUCAUAUCAUUCGUCAUCAUAUCAGUAGGAACUUAACAGACAUUUAUUUAUACUUUGGGUUAUAAUCCAGUACUACUACAUCACUUAUUUUGUUGCUGAAAUUGUUCCAGCUUUGGUCAUUGGGAGCUCUAUAGGAUGUUCCAGACUCAUCUUGUGUAUUUCUGCCCCAUCCCCAGAACCAGCCAUUUCUCCAAGGAGCCCUGGUUUCUUUUAUUGGAGAAUAUUAUCAGAAAUCAAGAUCUAGGCACUAGGUGUAUCUAUAGAAUUUUGACCUGAUAGUACCAGGCCAAUUCCUGACUGUUAGGGGCUGCUUUUCUCUUUCUCAGAAAGCAUCUUUGACUGUAAACUCAAUGUAAGCAACUAUGGAACAUAACUGCUAAUGAAACUAAUGUAAGCUUAGGUUCUGUUGGCAGAAAGUAUGUAAAAAUGAGGAACACUGUUUUCAUUAUAACCUCUAUGGGACCUACAACACCUGGAAAUCUUUGUUUAGUUUGUCUGGUCACAGUGUAAAGGAAAAUUAAUAAAUGGUGGCACUUCAGAAGGGGCUAGCCAGAUUCAUAAAGUCUGGAAUGAUUAAAUAAGAAUGAUUACAGAAGGGGCACCUAGGUGGCUCAGUCGGUUAAGCAUCCAACUUUGGCUCAGGUCUUGAUCUUAUGGUUUAUGGGUUUGAGCCCCAUGUCAAGCUCUAUGCUGACAGCUUAGAGCAGCUUACAGCCUGGAGCCUACUUCGGAUUCUGUGUCUCCCUCUCUCUCUGCCUGCUCACACUCUGUCUAUCUCUCCAAAAAUAAACAUUAAAAAAAAGAGGAAUGAUUACAGAAAAUAGAUAUUUGACCGGAAAAGACUUAGGCUGAACACAAUAGUUUUUUUCCUGUGAUAUGAAACAUAUCUUGUGCUCCAGAAGACAGAGGAAGAGAUGAUUUAUUCACCUAAUUAUUCACUGGUUUUCAUCCAAUAUAAGCAAGAACUGGCUAAUAGAGUUUAACCAUGGGAUGAGCUCCCUCAUGUGGUAAAAAUCUCAUUAUUGAAGCAUGUUGAAACCAUUUCAUCUGUAUUCACUAAACUCCAUUUUUAUUCUUUUGACUCUCUUUGAAUUUAGUUUAUUAGCAAAAGUUUCAGUUUGAGAGCUUGAAAUUUUGUCUCAACUGACUCAUGGAAGAAAAUAUAUUGUCUGCCUUUCAGCCAGGCUGGAUGGACUAGAGGGCUCAAGAUUGGUGUAGGAGCACAGGAUGUGAGGAGAGACAGAGACCUAUUAUAGUUAGUGACAUUGUCAUACUGGUUCACUUGCUCACUACAAAGGUGGCUGGAAUUGUAAUAUGCAAACACAAUGCACAUCUGUCUACCAAGGUUAAUUGUCUGUAUGAAGCAACACUAUCCUCCAUCCACCUACAUUUAUUUAGCUGUUAAAUGGCUGCUAGGUAACAACCUGCCCUAUUUUACCUUUCCUCUUCCUGAUGGGUAAGAUCUACACAGCAGAGGGGAAAGGUCCAGCGAUAUCAGACUACUUUGUAGUCUGUCCUAAUCAGUUUGGAGAUAUCGCAUUGUACUAGAUACAAAAAAUUACAUUCAACCAAGUAAUAUCAAUUCUAUUUCUACAGUGUUUAUGUAAUCAGUUAAUGUAAUAGUAUUUAUGUCUUAAAUACUUAAAAUUCAUUUUGGAUAAAGUCUAUCACUGUUAUGGAGUAAAUACAUGUGAACUACCUUAAUAUAUCUGUGUUUAGCAUUACCUGUAUUUUGUUGGCUGAAUCUUCCUUUUGAGCUCAGAACUUUGCUGCAUUUGCAGAGCUCAAGGGAAAGGCUGUCAGGAGCUGGGGCCACCAUUACAAUGAUUUAAUGAUUUAUUUACUGAAGUGUUGGUUUCAAUAAUGAAUGAAAUGUAGUUUCUACUUUGUGCUUAGGGAGCU